UGAUACUAAGAAAGCUCUCUCCAUACC
Molecule: non-coding RNA, 27 nt
Filed under: Rattus norvegicus (Norway rat)
Lineage: Eukaryota; Metazoa; Chordata; Mammalia; Rodentia; Muridae
Source: RNAcentral